RNAcentral lists this ribosomal RNA (599 nucleotides) under Poecilimon ornatus. Its description in RNAcentral is "partial 12S ribosomal RNA". The stretch from base 182 to 590 matches the Rfam family "Microsporidia small subunit ribosomal RNA", at positions 751 to 1303 of the family's 1311-position model. Lineage: Eukaryota; Metazoa; Arthropoda; Insecta; Orthoptera; Tettigoniidae. The record is from RNAcentral.
GUAGGAUAGGAAUAAAUUAUAUUAGUUGGGAGUUAAAGGAAAGUAUAAGAGAAUGGUUAAUUUUAUGGGUAAAAUUUGUUGAACUAAUUAUUUCUUAGGUUGGAAAUUUGAAGCUUUGAAAAUUGAGAUUGAAACUAGGAUUAGAUACCCUAUUAUUUUAAUUGUAAAGGGGGGAGAAGCUGGAGUAGUAGUAGUUAAGAGCUUGAAACUCAAAGAAUUUGGCGGUGUCUUAGGCUUUUCAGAGGAAUCUGUCCUAUAAUCGAUAAUACACGUUAAAUGUUACUUAAUUUGGUAUAACCAAUUUGUAUACCGCCGUCAUAAGAUUAUCUUUUUAGAGAAAUAAUUUUCUAGAUAUUAUAAGAUAUAAUGUCAGGUCAAGGUGCAGUUUAUAAUUAAGAAGGAGAUGGAUUACAAUAAAUUUAUUUAAAUGGAUUCUUUCUUGAAAGAUAAGGUUGAAGGUGGAUUUGAAAGUAAUUUUGUUAGAUUAUGAUAAAAUGAUUUAAGCUCUGGGAUAUGUACAUAUCGCCCGUCGCUCUCGUUAUAAGAUGAGAUAAGUCGUAACAUAGUAGUCGUACUGGAAAGUGUGGCUGGAAAGUCAA